GCGGUGCGCUUAUGCAUGCAGUCGAGCGAGCUUUCAGUAGUUUACUACAGAAAAUGACUGAGCGGCGAACGGGUGAGUAACGCGUGAGCAAUCUACCUUAGUUACAGGGAUAGCCCGAGGAAACUCGGAUUAAUACCUGAUAUUCUUUAUUUCUCGCAUGAGAAUAAAAGGAAAGGUCAGCCGAACUAAGAUGAGCUCGCGUUCUAUCAGCUAGUUGGUGAGGUAAAAGCUCACCAAGGCUACGACGGAUAGCUGGUCUGAGAGGACGAUCAGCCACACUGGGACUGAGACACGGCCCAGACUCCUACGGGAGGCUGCAGCAGGGAAUAUUGCGCAAUGAGCGAAAGCUUGACGCAGCGACACCGCGUGUGGGAUGACGGAUCUAGGUUUGUAAACCA
Molecule: ribosomal RNA, 398 nt
Filed under: uncultured bacterium
Lineage: Bacteria
Description: bacterial SSU rRNA
Rfam family: Bacterial small subunit ribosomal RNA
Source: RNAcentral